RNAcentral lists this ribosomal RNA (305 nucleotides) under uncultured bacterium. RNAcentral's name for it is "bacterial SSU rRNA". It matches the Rfam family "Bacterial small subunit ribosomal RNA", at positions 334 to 637 of the family's 1533-position model. The record is from RNAcentral.
UGCGCCUACGGGGGGCAGCAGUGAGGAAUAUUGGUCAAUGGGCGCAGGCCUGAACCAGCCAAGUCGCGUGAGGGAAGACUGCCCUAUGGGUUGUAAACCUCUUUUAUAAGGGAAGAAUAAUGACUACGUGUAGUCAGAUGCCCGUACCUUAUGAAUAAGCAUCGGCUAACUCCGUGCCAGCAGCCGCGGUAAUACGGAGGAUGCGAGCGUUAUCCGGAUUUAUUGGGUUUAAAGGGUGCGUAGGCGGAUUUUUAAGUCAGCGGUAAAAUGUCCGGGCUCAACCCGGGCCGGCCGUUGAAACUGGG